GACGAACGCUGGCGGCGUGCUUAACACAUGCAAGUCGAACGGAAAGGCCCUGCUUUUGUGGGGUGCUCGAGUGGCGAACGGGUGAGUAACACGUGAGUAACCUGCCCUUGACUUAGGGAUAACUUCAGGAAGCUGGGGCUAAUACCGGAUAGGAGCUCCUGCUGCAUGGUGGGGGUUGGAAAGUUUCGGCGGUUGGGGAUGGACUCGCGGCCUAUCAGCUUGUUGGUGGGGUAGUGGCUUACCAAGGCUUUGACGGGUAGCCGGCCUGAGAGGGUGAGCGGCCACAUUGGGACUGAGAUAAGGCACAGACUCCUACGGGACGGAGGAGUGGGGAAUAUUGCACAAUAGGCGGAAGCGUGAUGUAGCAACGCCGGGAGCGGGGUGACGGCCUUCGGUUUGUAAACCGCUUUCGCUUGUGACGAAGCGUGAAUGACGGUAAUGGAUAAAGAAGCACCGGCUAACUACGUG
Molecule: ribosomal RNA, 468 nt
Filed under: uncultured bacterium
Lineage: Bacteria
Description: partial 16S ribosomal RNA
Rfam family: Bacterial small subunit ribosomal RNA
Source: RNAcentral